CAAGUCGAACGCGAAAGUCCCGCAAGGGAUUAGUAGAGUGGCAAACGGGUGAGUAACACGUGGGUGACCUGCCUUCGAGUGGGGGAUAACGUCCCGAAAGGGACGCUAAUACCGCAUGACAUCCUGCCUUUGAAGAGGUGGAGCUUAAAGCUGGGGAUCGCAAGACCUAGCGCUUGAAGAGGGGCCCGCGUCUGAUUAGCUAGUUGGUGAGGUAACGGCUCACCAAGGCAACGAUCAGUAUCCGGCCUGAGAGGGCGGACGGACACACUGGGACUGAGACACGGCCCAGACUCCUACGGGAGGCAGCAGUGGGGAAUUGUUCGCAAUGGGCGCAAGCCUGACGACGCAACGCCGCGUGGAGGAUGAAGAUCUUCGGGUCGUAAACUCCUUUCGAUCGAGACGAACGGCCCCUGGGCUAAUCACCAGGGGAGUGACGGUACCGAGAGAAGAAGCCCCGGCUAACUCCGUGCCAGCAGCCGCGGUAAUACGGGGGGGGCAAGCGUUGUUCGGAAUUACUGGGCGUAAAGGGCUCGUAGGUGGCCAACUAAGUCAUACGUGAAAUCCCUCGGCUUAACCGGGGAACUGCGUCUGAUACUGGAUGGCUUGAGGUUGGGAGAGGGAUGCGGAAUUCCAGGUGUAGCGGUGAAAUGCGUAGAUAUCUGGAGGAACACCGGUGGCGAAGGCGGCAUCCUGGACCAAUUCUGACACUGAGGAGCGAAAGCCAGGGGAGCAAACGGGAUUAGAUACCCCGGUAGUCCUGGCCCUAAACGAUGAAUGCUUGGUGUGGCGGGUAUCGAUCCCUGCCGUGCCGAAGCUAACGCAUUAAGCAUUCCGCCUGGGGGAGUACGGUCG
This 852-nucleotide ribosomal RNA is filed under the name uncultured Pseudomonadota bacterium. RNAcentral describes it as "bacterial SSU rRNA". It matches the Rfam family "Bacterial small subunit ribosomal RNA", at positions 58 to 888 of the family's 1533-position model. Lineage: Bacteria; Pseudomonadati; Pseudomonadota. The record is from RNAcentral.